This 18-nucleotide small nuclear RNA is filed under the name Arabidopsis thaliana (thale cress). Its description in RNAcentral is "snRNA_13135". The record is from RNAcentral. Lineage: Eukaryota; Viridiplantae; Streptophyta; Magnoliopsida; Brassicales; Brassicaceae.
GCGAAAGAAUAGUUCGCU